RNAcentral lists this unclassified non-coding RNA (346 nucleotides) under soil metagenome. RNAcentral's name for it is "partial contains 5.8S ribosomal RNA, internal transcribed spacer 2, and large subunit ribosomal RNA". The stretch from base 1 to 121 matches the Rfam family "5.8S ribosomal RNA", at positions 35 to 154 of the family's 154-position model. The record is from RNAcentral.
GAUGAAGAACGCAGCGAAAUGCGAUAAGUAAUGCGAAUUGCAGAAUUUCCGUGAGUCAUCGAAUCUUUGAACGCACAUUGCGCCCACUGGUAUUCCGGUGGGCAUGCCUGUUCGAGCGUCAUUGCUGCCCUCAAGCACGGCUUGUGUGUUGGGCCUCCGUCCUCCUCCCGGGGGACGGGCCCGAAAGGCAGCGGCGGCACCGCGUCCGGUCCUCGAGCGUAUGGGGCUUCGUCACCCGCUCUUGUAGGCCCGGCCGGCGCUUGCCGACACAUCAAUCUUUUUUCCAGGUUGACCUCGGAUCAGGUAGGGAUACCCGCUGAACUUAAGCAUAUCAAUAAGCGGAGGA